AGACAUGCCGAGCAGGUCCUUUUUCCUUUGGAAGCAGGAAUACAUCCAUAACAUGCUACAUUUACAAAGGGUUCUCAGGGCUGCCAACCUUACAGUAGAGGUUAAGUAGUGGUAUAUUUCUCCUAUAAAC
Camelus dromedarius (Arabian camel) is the source of this 130-nucleotide small nucleolar RNA. NCBI's taxonomy places the organism in Eukaryota, Metazoa, Chordata, Mammalia, Artiodactyla, Camelidae. The record is from Ensembl.